AGAACCGUCUCACAGGGAUGUCUGCGGCAUUGCAUGGUCCGCUCUCGCUGCCGUUCCGGGAGGGGCGCCCCCAGGUGGAUGCAGAUAAUAGGUUCCUGUCCCAGGGGGCCCUAAAGGGCUGUGUGCUGACACUAAGGUGACCGACGCCGGCUUCUUGCAGCAGAUGGCGCAGGAGCCCAGAUCGGACACCCGAAGCCGGGUCUGGGGAUUUUGCUCCCCCGGUGGGGCGCCUCAUUCUGCAACUCCGAACGCAGAAACUGCCGGCGGGGCCCACCCCAGAGAGGGCUCUUCCGGGCAGCUGCUCCCAGGCCCUUCCCCAGGAAGGACACGGAGGUGCCCCCCGGCCGCCCUCUGGGGACACAAUUCCAACAGGUCUGCUCGAAGUCGGGGGGCGGCGGGGGGAGCCCAGGAUGGGGCUGGGACGCUGCUUCCUGCUUCGGGGCAGGUGGAUGCGACAUCUCUUGUUUCCCAAAAGGCAACAGAAGGUAACAAAGG
Phyllostomus hastatus (greater spear-nosed bat) is the source of this 495-nucleotide long non-coding RNA. RefSeq lists it as uncharacterized. The transcript is spliced from 3 exons. The record is from RefSeq and is a predicted model, not a curated record. NCBI's taxonomy places the organism in Eukaryota, Metazoa, Chordata, Mammalia, Chiroptera, Phyllostomidae.